UACGUAGGGUCCGAGCGUUGUCCGGAAUUACUGGGCGUAAAGAGCUCGUAGGUGGUUUGUCGCGUUGUUCGUGAAAUCUCACGGCUUAACUGUGAGCGUGCGGGCGAUACGGGCAGACUUGAGUACUGCAGGGGAGACUGGAAUUCCUGGUGUAGCGGUGGAAUGCGCAGAUAUCAGGAGGAACACCGGUGGCGAAGGCGGGUCUCUGGGCCGAUACUGACGCUGAGGAGCGAAAGCGUGGGGAGCGAACAGG
RNAcentral lists this ribosomal RNA (253 nucleotides) under uncultured bacterium. RNAcentral's name for it is "partial 16S ribosomal RNA". It matches the Rfam family "Bacterial small subunit ribosomal RNA", at positions 524 to 776 of the family's 1533-position model. The record is from RNAcentral.